This 378-nucleotide ribosomal RNA is filed under the name uncultured organism. RNAcentral's name for it is "partial 16S ribosomal RNA". It matches the Rfam family "Bacterial small subunit ribosomal RNA", at positions 527 to 896 of the family's 1533-position model. The record is from RNAcentral.
UAGGGGGGCGAGCGUUGUCCGGGAUUUAUUGGGGCGUAAAGAGCUCGUAGGCGGUUGCGUAAGUCGGGAUGUGAAAACUCAGGGGCUCAACCCUGAGAUGCCAUUCGAUACUGCGCUGACUCGAGUCCGGUAGGGGAGCAUGGAAUUCCUGGUGUAGCGGUGAAAUGCGCAGAUAUCAGGAGGAACACCAGUGGCGAAGGCGGUGCUCUGGGCCGGUACUGACGCUGAGGAGCGAAAGCAUGGGUAGCAAACAGGAUUAGAUACCCUGGUAGUCCAUGCCGUAAACGUUGGGCACUAGGUGUGGGCCUACUUAACGGGUUCCGUGCCGUAGCUAACGCAUUAAGUCGCCCCGCCGUGGGGAGUACGGCCGCAAGGACU